UACCUAACCAGAAAGCCACGGCUAACUACGUGCCAGCAGCCGCGGUAAUACGUAGGUGGCAAGCGUUGUCCGGGAAUUAUUGGGCGUAAAGGGCUCGCAGGCGGUUUCUUAAGUCUGAUGUGAAAGCCCCCGGCUCAACCGGGGAGGGUCAUUGGAAACUGGGGAACUUGAGUGCAGAAGAGGAGAGUGGAAUUCCACGUGUAGCGGUGAAAUGCGUAGAGAUGUGGAGGAACACCAGUGGCGAAGGCGACUCUCUGGUCUGUAACUGACGCUGAGGAGCGAAAGCGUGGGGAGCGAACAGGAUUAGAUACCCUGGUAGUCCACGCCGUAAACGAUGAGUGCUAAGUGUUAGGGGGUUUCCGCCCCUUAGUGCUGCAGCUAACGCAUUAAGCACUCCGCCUGGGGAGUACGGUCGCAAGACUGAAACUCAAAGGAAUUGACGGGGGCCCGCACAAGCGGUGGAGCAUGUGGUUUAAUUCGAAGCAACGCGAAGAACCUUACCAGGUCUUGACAUCCUCUGACAAUCCUAGAGAUAGGACGUCCCCUUCGGGGGCAGAGUGACAGGUGGUGCAUGGUUGUCGUCAGCUCGUGUCGUGAGAUGUUGGGUUAAGUCCCGCAACGAGCGCAACCCUUGAUCUUAGUUGCCAGCAUUCAGUUGGGCACUCUAAGGUGACUGCCGGUGACAAACCGGAGGAAGGUGGGGAUGACGUCAAAUCAUCAUGCCCCUUAUGACCUGGGCUACACACGUGCUACAAUGGACAGAACAAAGGGCAGCGAAACCGCGAGGUUAAGCCAAUCCCACAAAUCUGUUCUCAGUUCGGAUCGCAGUCUGCAACUCGACUGCGUGAAGCUGGAAUCGCUAGUAAUCGCGGAUCAGCAUGCCGCGGGGAAUACGUUCCCGGGCCUUGUACACCCCGCCUGUCACACCGUAACAAGGUAGCCGUAGAGUUUCUCCUGGCUCAGCAAGUCGUAACAAGGUAGCCGUAGAGUUAACCCCCCG
Molecule: ribosomal RNA, 1000 nt
Filed under: Bacillus siamensis
Lineage: Bacteria; Bacillati; Bacillota; Bacilli; Caryophanales; Bacillaceae
Description: bacterial SSU rRNA
Rfam family: Bacterial small subunit ribosomal RNA
Source: RNAcentral